RNAcentral lists this ribosomal RNA (493 nucleotides) under uncultured bacterium. RNAcentral describes it as "partial 16S ribosomal RNA". It matches the Rfam family "Bacterial small subunit ribosomal RNA", at positions 28 to 507 of the family's 1533-position model. The record is from RNAcentral.
GACGAACGCUGGCGGCGUGCCUAACACAUGCAAGUCGAGCGACGAACCAGGGCUUGCCCUGGGGCAAAGCAGCGAACGGGUGAGUAACACGUGGGUAACCUACCCCGAUAACCGGGACAACCCGAGGAAACUCGGGCUAAUACCGGAUGUGCUCACUGGACUUCGGUUCAGUGCGUAAAGGAAGCUUCGGCCUCCGUAUCGGGAGGGGCCCGCGGCCCAUUAGUUUGUUGGUGAGGUAACGGCUCACCAAGACCGCGAUGGGUAGCUGGUCUGAGAGGACGAUCAGCCACACUGGGACUGAGACACGGCCCAGACUCCUACGGGAGGCAGCAGUGGGGAAUCUUGCGCAAUGCGCGAAAGCGUGACGCAGCAACGCCGCGUGGGGGAAGAAGGCCUUCGGGUUGUAAAACCCUUUCAGGAGGGAAGAAGGUUCGGCGGUGAAUAGCCGUCCGGACUGACGGUACCUCCACAAGAAGCCCCGGCUAACUACGUG